CCUACGGGUGGCAGCAGUGAGGAAUAUUGGUCAAUGGCCGGAAGGCUGAACCAGCCAAGCCGCGUGAAGGACGAAGGUGCCAAGCAUUGUAAACUUCUUUUGUCAAGGGACAAAAUCAGGCUCGAGAGCCUGACCGAGGGUACUUGAAGAAAAAGCAUCGGCUAACUCCGUGCCAGCAGCCGCGGUCAUACGGAGGAUGCGAGCGUUAUCCGGAUUUAGUGGGUUUAAAGGGUGCGUAGGCGGGCUGUUAAGUCAGCGGUAAAAGUCCGGGGCUCAACCCCGGCGAGCCGUUGAAACUGGCUGUCUUGAGAUGUCGAGAGGUAUGCGGAAUGCGCAGUGUAGCGGUGAAAUGCUUAGAUAUUGCGCAGAACUCCGAUUGCGAAGGCAGCAUACCGGCGGCGAUCUGACGCUGAGGCACGAAAGCGUGGGUAUCGAACAGGAUUAGAUACCCGUGUAGUC
This 459-nucleotide ribosomal RNA is filed under the name uncultured bacterium. RNAcentral's name for it is "partial 16S ribosomal RNA". It matches the Rfam family "Bacterial small subunit ribosomal RNA", at positions 338 to 795 of the family's 1533-position model. The record is from RNAcentral.